This 107-nucleotide small nuclear RNA is filed under the name Nannospalax galili (Upper Galilee mountains blind mole rat). The record is from RNAcentral. Lineage: Eukaryota; Metazoa; Chordata; Mammalia; Rodentia; Spalacidae.
GUGCUGACUUCGGCAGCACAUAUAGUAAAAGUGGAAUGACACAGAGAAGAUCAGUAUGGCCCCUGCACAAGGAUGACACGCAAAUUUGUGAAGCGUUCCAUAUUUUU